This is a long non-coding RNA of Rhipicephalus sanguineus (brown dog tick), 328 nucleotides long. RefSeq lists it as uncharacterized. Lineage: Eukaryota; Metazoa; Arthropoda; Arachnida; Ixodida; Ixodidae. The record is from RefSeq and is a predicted model, not a curated record. The transcript has 3 exons.
GUACUUUCAGAAUACCAAGAUUUCCCCGACUUCUCUCCAGAGCUCUCAGAAUCAAGGCGUGAGACCAUGCCCCUCAAUAUCUCUCCACCAAUACAAGAGCCAGCAUCCCAGGGGGCACAGGAGCCAUUGCCAACAGCACCAACUACACAGAGAACCCCAAGAGCCAGGACCAGGACCCGGAAAGUGCUCACUCCAUGUUAUAUGAAGAGGCUUCAGCACUACUGCGACGAGAACUCCCACCUCUAUCAAACUGUUGCAAGACUUAAAAAGUCCAAGAAACCAAUUGCAUCUCAUGCGCAGCUUCUUCUUGAAGCAGGCAGGUACCUAA